AGAGUUUGAUCCUGGCUCAGGACGAACGCUGGCGGCGUGCCUAAUACAUGCAAGUCGAACGCGUCUUGGUUAUCGAAGGGAAGUGCUUGCAUUUCCUUGACUUAACAUUGAGACGAGUGGCGAACUGGUGAGUAACACGUGGGUAACCUGCCCUUGAAGUAGGGGAUAACACUUGGAAACAGGUGCUAAUACCGUAUAACAACCAAAACCCCAUGGUUUUGGUUUAAAAGAUGGCUUCGGCUAUCACUUUAGGAUGGACCCGCGGCGUAUUAGCUUGUUGGUGAGGUAACGGCUCACCAAGGCAAUGAUACGUAGCCGACCUGAGAGGGUAAUCGGCCACAUUGGGACUGAGACACGGCCCAAACUCCUACGGGAGGCAGCAGUAGGGAAUCUUCCACAAUGGACGAAAGUCUGAUGGAGCAACGCCGCGUGAGUGAUGAAGGGUUUCGGCUCGUAAAACUCUGUUGUUGGAGAAGAACGGGUGUGAGAGUAACUGUUCACAUCGUGACGGUAUCCAACCAGAAAGCCACGGCUAACUACGUGCCAGCAGCCGCGGUAAUACGUAGGUGGCAAGCGUUGUCCGGAUUUAUUGGGCGUAAAGCGAGCGCAGGCGGUUUUUUAGGUCUGAUGUGAAAGCCUUCGGCUUAACCGGAGAAGUGCAUCGGAAACCGGGAGACUUGAGUGCAGAAGAGGACAGUGGAACUCCAUGUGUAGCGGUGAAAUGCGUAGAUAUAUGGAAGAACACCAGUGGCGAAGGCGGCUGUCUGGUCUGUAACUGACGCUGAGGCUCGAAAGCAUGGGUAGCGAACAGGAUUAGAUACCCUGGUAGUCCAUGCCGUAAACGAUGAGUGCUAAGUGUUGGAGGGUUUCCGCCCUUCAGUGCUGCAGCUAACGCAUUAAGCACUCCGCCUGGGGAGUACGACCGCAAGGUUGAAACUCAAAGGAAUUGACGGGGGCCCGCACAAGCGGUGGAGCAUGUGGUUUAAUUCGAUGCUACGCGAAAACCUUACCAGGUCUUGACAUCUUCUGCCAACCUAAGAGAUUAGGCGUUCCCUUCGGGGACAGAAUGACAGGUGGUGCAUGGUUGUCGUCAGCUCGUGUCGUGAGAUGUUGGGUUAAGUCCCGCAACGAGCGCAACCCUUAUUGUUAGUUGCCAGCAUU
RNAcentral lists this ribosomal RNA (1161 nucleotides) under Lentilactobacillus kisonensis F0435. Its description in RNAcentral is "bacterial SSU rRNA". It matches the Rfam family "Bacterial small subunit ribosomal RNA", at positions 8 to 1125 of the family's 1533-position model. The record is from RNAcentral. Lineage: Bacteria; Bacillati; Bacillota; Bacilli; Lactobacillales; Lactobacillaceae.